This 194-nucleotide unclassified non-coding RNA is filed under the name uncultured fungus. RNAcentral describes it as "sequence contains ITS1, 5.8S rRNA gene". Lineage: Eukaryota; Fungi. The record is from RNAcentral.
AUGAAAUGCACCCUCGGGGGGUUGUGCUGGCGCUCCGGCGCAACGUGCACGCCCCCUCUGGCGUUCAGACCCAUUCACACCUGUGCACGAACCUGUCGGACGGGAGUGGCGCCUUGCGUGCCCUCCGGUCUGGCCCUUCACAUCAGCUUAUUAUUGUAUGUCGAAUGCAUCACUGCGCACGCGCAACCGAAAUA